UAGGCUCAAUUGAACCCAAGCCUGGUUUGGUUUGGUUUGGUUUUGGGGUGCCCCAAUUCCCACCAGCUGAGAAUCACUUUCAGGGGGAGGCUUGGGGGUGUUAUAAACUGCUGGUGCAUGGGACUGGGCCUCGGAGACUCUGAUAGUGAUGAUCUCGUGGGUGACCGGGGCAAUUUGCUGUUGUUGGGUAUUUGCUUCCUUGCUCGCUCGCUUGCUUGGAGACAGAUGUUUGCUAUGUUGCUUCUGCUGGCAUCUAAAUCCUGGAAUCAAGUAAUCCUCCUGCCUCAGCCUCCCAGGUAGCUGGGAGUAAGAAUGCAUUUAUCCCACAGUGCCUGACCAUAAACGUCGUGUUUUACAAAGCUCCACAGCCGACUCUCCACCAAGAAAAGAACUACGCCAUGUAGAAGACUAAGGAUUGUUCUAGAAAGCUAGAAAACCUGCCCCUUCUACUGACCAGAGCUUUAACAUGAAUCCUGGUGGGAUGCAGCGUGAUCGUAACAGAGGCCAUGCGUGUUUGGGUAGAACUGUGGAGGGUCACACAGGUUUCACGCCGGCCUCUGAGGAGAUCUCCGUUGUGCUACACAGACUCAGCUGUGAGCUUGGACACUGUAUAUCGUUCCCAUUUUACUGUGGCUCACUUUACUCGAGUGGGAAAAGAAGAUGCGUUCCGGAGAAAUCAUACUUGGACUUGGAGAUUUUGAUCCUUUCCUGGGCUGGCCACACGGAUCUUUGAUGCCUUUUCAUCUAGGGUAGCAGCAGCAAGCUGUUCCCAGGGAGCCCCAUGGCCAUGAAGUAACUGGUCCUACUGUGUUCCCAGGGAGCCCCAUGGCCAUGAAGUGACUGGUCCUAUUGUGUUCCCAGGGAGCCCCAUGCCAUGAAGUGACUGGUCCUACUGUGUUUCCAGGGAGUCCCAUGGCCAUGAAGUGACUGGUCCUACUGUGUUCCGGGCAAAUGAGCCAAGAUGCUUGCCAGACUGGGAUGUCAAGCACACCCUCGACUGCUGCUGGCUUUUCAUUUAUGACGGCUAUGGCCCAGGUGCUCUUGAACCAAACAGCUAGUAAAGUCACGUGCAUCUCAGAGC
RNAcentral lists this long non-coding RNA (1081 nucleotides) under Rattus norvegicus (Norway rat). RNAcentral's name for it is "long non-coding RNA NONRATT005552". The record is from RNAcentral. Lineage: Eukaryota; Metazoa; Chordata; Mammalia; Rodentia; Muridae.